RNAcentral lists this ribosomal RNA (450 nucleotides) under uncultured bacterium. RNAcentral's name for it is "partial 16S ribosomal RNA". It matches the Rfam family "Bacterial small subunit ribosomal RNA", at positions 354 to 796 of the family's 1533-position model. The record is from RNAcentral.
GUGGGGAAUCUUCCGCAAUGGACGAAAGUCUGACGGAGCAACGCCGCGUGAACGAUGACGGCCUUCGGGUUGUAAAGUUCUGUUAUACGGGACGAAUGGCGUAGCGGUCAAUACCCGUUACGAGUGACGGUACCGUAAGAGAAAGCCACGGCUAACUACGUGCCAGCAGCCGCGGUAAUACGUAGGUGGCAAGCGUUGUCCGGAAUUAUUGGGCGUAAAGGGCGCGCAGGCGGCGUCGUAAGUCGGUCUUAAAAGUGCGGGGCUUAACCCCGUGAGGGGACCGAAACUGCGAUGCUAGAGUAUCGGAGAGGAAAGCGGAAUUCCUAGUGUAGCGGUGAAAUGCGUAGAUAUUGGGAGGAACACCAGUGGCGAAGGCGCCUUUCUGGACUGUGUCUGACGCUGAGAUGCGAAAGCCAGGGUAGCGAACGGGAUUAGAUACCCUAGUAGUCC